Molecule: long non-coding RNA, 886 nt
Filed under: Apteryx rowi (Okarito brown kiwi)
Lineage: Eukaryota; Metazoa; Chordata; Aves; Apterygiformes; Apterygidae
Description: lncRNA (ENSARWG00000018924.1)
Source: RNAcentral
AGCGGGAGCAGGAGGAGAAGGGGUUGUUCCUGGAGUUAUGCCCCACACUAGGGCACCGAUGUUACAGUAAAGAGCUGGGGGGAGGGAUAUAAACGAUUCUAGGGGAUUUUUUGCAGGCCCUGGAGUGUGCUCUGGUGUUGUGGAAACAUGAAUACCCUCAUUUUACAGAUGCAUAAUGCCUGACGCUGAGCCCUUUGAGCACACUCUUUGCUCUCCAUGCGGAUGAUCCCRUGUCAUAUGUGGGGGAAACGCCUGCACGCUGACUAGAUCCGAUGGAGCCGAGCGCUUGAAACUGCUCUGGAAGUGGUGGUGCAGGUCCCCUACCUCUCCUGGGCUCUCUAGAGCCUGGGAAUGCUGACACCUUAAUGAGCCUCCCGCGGAGCACCCUGGGGCCCGGAUCACAGGAUGGCGCCUCUGAGGGAACAUAAGGACUGAAGAAUCUGGGGAUUGCAUAAGAGAAGCCACUUCAGAUUACUGCACGUUUCAAAUUGGCCUCAAAGAGGCUGGGCUGCCUGGUGUUGGGAAGAAUCGGAUUCAAGGAAUCGAGAGCAGGAAAUGCCUUUUGAGGUCAUGUGGCCUAUCUGCUAGACACGGAAUUGCACAUGCUGUCAGAGUUUCACACCCUCUCCAGGAGGAUUACGUCAGAGCAGGAAGCAGCGCCCGAGCGCCCUUGUCAGCGUUUCCAAUUUCCGCAGCAAAAGUAAAUGGAACAACAAAAGGGGUUUUGGCUCGCAAGGGCCAAGUCUGCGCCGCAGAAGCUGGAAGGCACCAGUAGAGGGUUCUCGGGAUCCUGGCACUCCAGCUYGGGGGAAACCCAGGCCAAAUAAUUGUUCCCAAAAAGCUAGAGGAAAAUGUUGCCACGUAAUAAAUGGGAUUUUUUUUCCCA